Molecule: ribosomal RNA, 87 nt
Filed under: Ferula sp. US:3541491
Lineage: Eukaryota; Viridiplantae; Streptophyta; Magnoliopsida; Apiales; Apiaceae
Description: partial 5.8S ribosomal RNA
Rfam family: 5.8S ribosomal RNA
About the family: 5.8S ribosomal RNA (5.8S rRNA) is a component of the large subunit of the eukaryotic ribosome. It is transcribed by RNA polymerase I as part of the 45S precursor that also contains 18S and 28S rRNA.
Source: RNAcentral
UGCAGAAUCCCGUGAACCAUCGAGUCUUUGAACGCAAGUUGCGCCCGAAGCCAUUAGGCUGAGGGCACGUCUGCUUGGGCGUCACGC